CUUUUUCUUCGAUUUGAGCUCUUAGAAAAAAUAACGCUGUUAUCCCUAAGGUAAUUUUUUCUUUCAAUCUAUAAUAUUAGGAUCAAAUAAGCCAUUUAAAAAUGUUUUAUAUAAAAAAAAGUUAAUUAAAUUUUUCAGUCACCCCAACCUAAUUUUUUACCACUUUGAGAUAUUAAUAAUUCUAAAUAUAAACUCAAAAAGCAAAAAAUAAAACUCUAUAGGGUCUUCUCGUCUUUCAUAUAUAUUUAAGCUUUUUUACUUAAAAAUAAAAUUCAAAAAAAUUAAAUUGAGACAGUUGUUUUUUCAUCAAACCUUUCAUUCCAGCUUCUAAUUAAGAAACUAAUGAUUAUGCUACCUUAGCACAGUCAAAAUACUGCGGCCAUUUAA
This 387-nucleotide ribosomal RNA is filed under the name Ips spinifer. RNAcentral describes it as "partial 16S ribosomal RNA". Lineage: Eukaryota; Metazoa; Arthropoda; Insecta; Coleoptera; Curculionidae. The record is from RNAcentral.